Molecule: transfer RNA, 61 nt
Filed under: Vibrio cholerae
Lineage: Bacteria; Pseudomonadati; Pseudomonadota; Gammaproteobacteria; Vibrionales; Vibrionaceae
Description: tRNA-Met
Rfam family: tRNA
About the family: Transfer RNA (tRNA) molecules are approximately 80 nucleotides in length. Their secondary structure includes four short double-helical elements and three loops (D, anti-codon, and T loops).
Source: RNAcentral
GUGGAGCAGCUUGGUAGCUCGUCGGGCUCAUAACCCGAAGGUCGUCGGUUCAAAUCCGGCC